CUUCUCUCUGGCUGCACCAUAGUUCCAAGGGGAAAACAAGUGGCUGUCGCUGUUACUUAAUUUGAAGCUAAAGUCUGUCUACCCUGCAAAAGUCAGCUCUAUUUUCAAAAAGAACUUGAUUUUCGGUCUGAAUAAUCUCUUUCUGAAGUGGGCAAUGAACAAGUAAUAGAUUAAUAAAUUAAACUGAAGACUGAAAAUAAGGCACGGAAGUCACAGGACCCACUUCCCGAAAACAAGUGGAGGAGUUAACUUUCCACCUCUCCUGGCUGCAGAGCUUCACUCUGAAGAAUUCCUAUUUCCUGAAUUCAGACCAGCAAUGAUUGCUUCAGAAACUUCUGCUCAUGAGAUGUUACCAUAUAUCUGACCAUGAAUGCAUCCUAUUAAAAACAUUUUGAAUAUUUAUAUAA
Long non-coding RNA from Neofelis nebulosa (Clouded leopard), 407 nucleotides. RefSeq lists it as uncharacterized. NCBI's taxonomy places the organism in Eukaryota, Metazoa, Chordata, Mammalia, Carnivora, Felidae. The transcript is spliced from 3 exons. The record is from RefSeq and is a predicted model, not a curated record.